Long non-coding RNA from Camelina sativa (false flax), 1108 nucleotides. RefSeq lists it as uncharacterized. The record is from RefSeq and is a predicted model, not a curated record. NCBI's taxonomy places the organism in Eukaryota, Viridiplantae, Streptophyta, Magnoliopsida, Brassicales, Brassicaceae.
ACCGUUGGCCUAUAAAAAAACCUAACAACCUUAGUUUUUGUCUUUGAUUCGACAGCAACCGCUGCUUUUAACCAUUCUCUCGUUCUUUUAGUUACAAAACAACAACAACUCUCCCUCUUUCCCUCUCUCCCUCAACGCAAGGCUGGCCACGAAAUCAAUUACUUGUUGUGGUCGGGUCGGUUAAACAGGCAUCCAAAUUUUUUCAGGGUCCCGCCUUGGGCCCAGCCAAUUCGGGUUGCGGCUUUCCUAAUCUCCUUUUUAACUCCACCGGGUAAAACGAUACGGAUAUUUGACUCAGUGAGUUUGUGAUCGAGUCAAAGGUGAGCGUUGGAGCUUAGGUGUGAGCAGGCCUGACUGAGUAAGAGAUCUCCGAGAAUGCUUGCAUCAAGCUAGUCCUCCACUACAACUUCCUUCUUUUUGCAACCUCUGGAGAUCUCUCUCGUCAUGAUUUUGAAGGUAGGGAAGUAACUUCCAGCAGCUGUUUGUGGAGCGUAAAGGGUCUCUUAGGAUUUCAAUUAGAAAAGAUAGAAACUUUUAGCAUUUGUUUUGCAUUUUGCUUGAAUUUGAAACAAUACACUGAUGACUUCAGGUAAGAGACUCUUUUUUGUUGCUUUUGAUGAAUCAGAUAAGAGGAGCAUUAUUUAGCUCUGUGGUGGGGUGUGCUAUUUCCUCCGUGCUCUCUACUGUGAAUAUUGUUUUAUCAGAUUUGCUUGGAGAAUGAUCAGAGCAAGAUGGAGGCAGUAAGCUACUCUUAAAAGGAGCCAUCAGCUAAUAUUGUUUUAUCAGAUUUGCUUUUCAUCAGAGAAAAUAGAUGGACCUCGCAGACUUUGAUGAUCAUCUUCGCCAUGUCACCAAGGACUGGCUGAACCCUGCAUUCCUCAGCUGUAGAACUGUCAGGCGAUGUACCUAUGCGCUUCAGUCUUCAUCAUUAUCAUCCACGGUUAGCUUUUGGAGACUCUCUUUUUUUGAGCUAUAGAGUCUGUGUUAAAAAAGUGUUUUCCAGAUUCACGAUAGAGCAAAAGUGCUCAAAGUACUAUACUUUUUUUGUACAUCUUGAGACACUGUGGUUAAAAUUUACAAGUAUGAUGAAACUUCUUCUUGUGAUCCA